GAUGAACGCUGGCGGCGUGCUUAACACAUGCAAGUCGAACGGGAUCCAAGGGGUGCUUGCACUUUUUGGUGAGAGUGGCGAACGGGUGAGUAACACGUGAGUAACCUGUCCUUUUCUUUGGGAUAAGCAUUCGAAAGGGUGUUUAAUACCUUAUGUUCUGUCUGCCUCGCAUGGGGUGGGUGGGAAAGGCUUUGGCCGGAUUUGGGUGGGCUCGCGGUCUAUCAGCUUGUUGGUGGGGUGAUGGCUUACCAAGGCUUUGACGGGUAGCCGGCCUGAGAGGGUGGUCGUUCACAUGGGGACGGAGAUACGGCCCAGACUCCUGCGGGGGGAAGCGGUGGGGGAUAUGGAACAUGGGGCGAAGCCUGAUGCAGCGACGCCGCGUGGGGGAUGAAGGCCUUCGGGUUGUAAACUUCUUUUGCUCUGAACAAGGCAUGCCAGUGGGUGUGUUGAGUGUAGGGGUUGAUUAGCGCCGGCUAACUACGUG
This 484-nucleotide ribosomal RNA is filed under the name uncultured bacterium. Its description in RNAcentral is "partial 16S ribosomal RNA". It matches the Rfam family "Bacterial small subunit ribosomal RNA", at positions 28 to 507 of the family's 1533-position model. The record is from RNAcentral.